AUGAACGCUGGCGGCGUGGAUAAGGCAUGCAAGUCGAGUGGGUUUAGACCCACGGCAAACGAGGUAGUAAUACAUAGGAAUUUCCCCCGAAGUCGGGCAUAACCGGUCGAAAGAUCGGAUAAUUCCCGAUAAUCUCUACGGAGCAAAGAUUCAUCGCUUCGGGAAAAGCCUGUGCGAUAUCAGCUAGUUGGUAAGGUAAUGGCUUACCAAGGCUAUGACGUCUAGGGGAGGUGAGAGCCUGACCCCCACCGAUGGUACUGCGACACGGACCAUACACCUACGGGUGGCUGCAGUCGAGAAUCUUCCACAAUGGGCGAAAGCCUGAUGGAGCGACGCCGCGUGAUGGAUGAAGUCCUUCGGGAUGUAAACAUCUUUUAUGAGGGAAGAAGUUAUUGACGGUACCUCAUGAAUAAGGGGUUGCUAAACUCGU
This 430-nucleotide ribosomal RNA is filed under the name uncultured bacterium. Its description in RNAcentral is "bacterial SSU rRNA". It matches the Rfam family "Bacterial small subunit ribosomal RNA", at positions 29 to 506 of the family's 1533-position model. The record is from RNAcentral.